AUACGGAGGAUCCGAGCGUUAUCCGGAUUUAUUGGGUUUAAAGGGCGCGUAGGCGGACGCUUAAGUCAGUUGUGAAAGUUUGCGGCUCAACCGUAAAAUUGCAGUUGAUACUGGGUGUCUUGAGUACAGUAGAGGCAGGCGGGAGUCGUGGGGGAGUGGUGGAAUGCUUAGAUAUCACGAAGAACUCCGAUUGCGAAGGCAGCCUGCUGGACUGUAACUGACGCUGAUGCUCGAAAGUGUGGGUAUCAAACAGGAUUAGAUACCCUGGUAGUCCACACAGUAAACGAUGAAUACUCGCUGUUUGCGAUAUACAGUAGGCGGCCAAGCGAAAGCGUUAAGUAUUCCACCUGGGGAGUACGCCGGCAACGGUGAAACUCAAAGGAAUUGACGGGG
RNAcentral lists this ribosomal RNA (393 nucleotides) under uncultured bacterium. RNAcentral describes it as "partial 16S ribosomal RNA". It matches the Rfam family "Bacterial small subunit ribosomal RNA", at positions 523 to 918 of the family's 1533-position model. The record is from RNAcentral.